GAUGAAGAACGUAGCGAAAUGCGAUAAGUAAUGUGAAUUGCAGAAUUCAGUGAAUCAUCGAAUCUUUGAACGCACAUUGCGCCCGCCAGGAUUCUGGCGGGCAUGCCUGUUCGAGCGUCAUUUCAACCAUCAAGCCCCAGGCUUGUGUUGGAGCCCUGCGGCUGCCGCAGCCUCCCAAAACCAGUGGCGGGCUCGCUAUCACACCGAGUGCAGUAGUUUACUCUUCGCUCAGGGCGUGUGGCGGGUGCUAGCCGUAAAACCCCCAACUUCUCAAGGUUGACCUCGGAUCAGGUAGGAAUACCCGCUGAACUUAAGCAUAUCAAUAAGCGGAGGA
Molecule: unclassified non-coding RNA, 334 nt
Filed under: soil metagenome
Description: partial contains 5.8S ribosomal RNA, internal transcribed spacer 2, and large subunit ribosomal RNA
Rfam family: 5.8S ribosomal RNA (bases 1-120)
Source: RNAcentral